Long non-coding RNA from Drosophila miranda, 215 nucleotides. RefSeq lists it as uncharacterized. The transcript has 2 exons. NCBI's taxonomy places the organism in Eukaryota, Metazoa, Arthropoda, Insecta, Diptera, Drosophilidae. The record is from RefSeq and is a predicted model, not a curated record.
CAGGAGCAGAAGGUUCGGGAGGAUCCGGACUUAAACAUGUUUACUGAAGACAUUCUUAGUACUGAAAGUGGAAAGGACAAUUUGAAAACACCGAUUUCCCCUAAGGCUUCGCCCCCCGUGUAUGGCUGCAAGUGCAAACUAUGCGGCAAAAUGAUUGGAAGGUUGAGCACCUUGGGAAACCACGUAAUGAACCAACAUUACACAGCAAUAAGAGG